Molecule: unclassified non-coding RNA, 269 nt
Filed under: Steccherinum bourdotii
Lineage: Eukaryota; Fungi; Basidiomycota; Agaricomycetes; Polyporales; Steccherinaceae
Description: partial internal transcribed spacer region
Rfam family: Eukaryotic small subunit ribosomal RNA (bases 1-46)
Source: RNAcentral
AAGUCGUAACAAGGUUUCCGUAGGUGAACCUGCGGAAGGAUCAUUAAUGAAUGAAAUUGAGUGGGGCUGUAGCUGGCCUUUCACCGGGCAUGUGCACACCUCAUUCGACCACCUUCUACACCCCUGUGCACUUCUCAUGAGUUGGGCCGCGUCUGAAACACGACAAAGUCCGGCUCGUGUGUUUUAUACAAACGAAUCAUGUUACAGAAUGUCACUACCAUGCUUUGAAGCAUAUAAUACAACUUUCAACAACGGAUCUCUUGGCUCUC